UACGUAGGGGCCUAGCGUUGUCCGGAUUUAUUGGGCGUAAAGAGCUCGUAGGCGGUUCGGCAAGUCGGAUGUGAAAUCUCCACGCUUAACGUGGAGGGGCCAUUCGAAACUGCCGUGACUCGAGUCCGGUAGGGGAGUGUGGAAUUCCCGGUGUAGCGGUGAAAUGCGCAGAUAUCGGGAGGAACACCAGUGGCGAAGGCGACUUCCUGGCCUGUUCUUGACGCUGAGGCGCGAAAGCUAGGGUAGCAAACAGG
Molecule: ribosomal RNA, 254 nt
Filed under: uncultured bacterium
Lineage: Bacteria
Description: partial 16S ribosomal RNA
Rfam family: Bacterial small subunit ribosomal RNA
Source: RNAcentral